Molecule: ribosomal RNA, 592 nt
Filed under: Blastobotrys adeninivorans
Lineage: Eukaryota; Fungi; Ascomycota; Dipodascomycetes; Dipodascales; Trichomonascaceae
Description: partial large subunit ribosomal RNA
Rfam family: Eukaryotic large subunit ribosomal RNA
Source: RNAcentral
AAACCAACCGGGAUUGCCCUAGUAACGGCGAGCGAAGCGGCAAAAGUCCAAAUUUGAAAUCUGGCGUCCUACGGGCGUCCGAGUUGUAAUUUGAAGAUGGUAACUUUGGGUUUGGCUCUUGCAUAAGUUCCUUGGAACAGGACGUCAUAGAGGGUGAGAAUCCCGUUCAUGGUAAGAUGCCCAUUCCUUUGUAAAGUGCCUUCGAAGAGUCGAGUUGUUUGGGAAUGCAGCUCUAAGUGGGUGGUAAAUUCCAUCUAAGACUAAAUAUUGGCGAGAGACCGAUAGCGAACAAGUACAGUGAUGGAAAGAUGAAAAGAACUUUGAAAAGAGAGUGAAAAAGUACGUGAAAUUGUUGAAAGGGAAGGGCUUGAAGUCAGACUUGGUAUUCAGUGAUCAACUGUCUUUCGGGACUGUGCACUCGCUGUUUACUGGGCCAACAUCGGUUUUGGCGGCGAGAUAAAUGCAUUGGAACGUGGCUCUAUCUUCGGGUGGAGUGUUAUAGCCUUUGUAAAUAUCGCCAGCUGGGACCGAGGACUGCGCAUCUGCUAGGAUGUUGGCGUAAUGACUUUAAGCCACCCGUCUUGAAACACGG